RNAcentral lists this ribosomal RNA (492 nucleotides) under uncultured bacterium. Its description in RNAcentral is "partial 16S ribosomal RNA". It matches the Rfam family "Bacterial small subunit ribosomal RNA", at positions 29 to 507 of the family's 1533-position model. The record is from RNAcentral.
AGUGAACGCUGGCGGUAGGCCUAACACAUGCAAGUCGAACGGCAGCACAGUAAGAGCUUGCUCUUACGGGUGGCGAGUGGCGGACGGGUGAGGAAUACAUCGGAAUCUACUUUUUCGUGGGGGAUAAAGUAGGGCUACUUCCGCUAAUACCGCAUACGACCUACGGGUGAGAGCAGGGGAUCUUCGGACCUUGCGUGAUUGCAUGAGUCGAUGUCUGAUUAGCUAGUUGGCGGGGUACAGGCCCACUAAGGCGACGAUCCGUAGCUGGUCUGAGAGGGUGAUCAGCCACACUGAGACUGAGACACGGUCCAGACUCCUACGGGAGGCAGCAGUGGGGAAUAUUGGACAAUGGGCGCAAGCCUGAUCCAGCCAUACCGCGUGGGUGAAGAAGGCCUUCGGGUUGUAAAGCCCUUUUGUUGGGGAAGAAAAGCAGCAGGUUAAUACCCCGCUGUUCUGACGGUACCCGAAGAAUAAGCACCGGCUAACUUCGUG